RNAcentral lists this ribosomal RNA (774 nucleotides) under uncultured Neocallimastigales. Its description in RNAcentral is "partial large subunit ribosomal RNA". It matches the Rfam family "Eukaryotic large subunit ribosomal RNA", at positions 24 to 642 of the family's 3401-position model. The record is from RNAcentral. Lineage: Eukaryota; Fungi; Neocallimastigomycota; Neocallimastigomycetes; Neocallimastigales.
UAUGUGAUCGUCUCUCGCAUAUCAAUAAGCGGAGGAAAAGAAACUAACAAGGAUUCCCCUAGUAACGGCGAGUGAAGCGGGAAGAGCUCAAAUUUGAAAUCUUAAAGGGUUUCCCUUUACGAAUUGUAGUUUAAAGAAGUGUUUUCCUGUUGAGGUUUUGGUAAAAGUUCUUUGGAAUAGGACAUCAUAGAGGGUGAGAAUCCCGUAUUUGACCUUUACUUUCAACUUUGUGAUACACUUUCAAAGAGUCGGAUUGUUUGGGAAUGCAGUCCGAAAUGGGUGGUAAAUUUCAUCUAAAGCUAAAUAUUGGCGAGAGACCGAUAGCGAACAAGUACCGUGAGGGAAAGAUGAAAAGAACUUUGAAAAGAGAGUUAAACAGUACGUGAAAUUGUCAAAAGGGAAGCGUUUGACACCAGUGUUGUUUUUCUGAAAAUCAAUUAAAGAACUGUUUAUGCUAAGCUGUUUAGACUUUAUCAGCUAUCUGUUUAGUUUUGAGCUUUUCUUUAAUGCACUUUUCAGUUAACAAGUCAACAUCAAUUUCUUUUGCUGUAAAAAAGCUUGAGGAAGGUGGCUUGAGAUUCGUCUUAAGUGUUUAUAGCCUCUUGCCUAUGCAGUCGGAGAGAUUGAGGUCUGCAGCGUAGAUCCUUCGGGGCUAAAUGCAUUUGUGCUAAGUUAUAGCAUUUUAUAGACAACUUGUUGACUAUGAUUUGUCUUGUAGCUUACUCGCUUAUGUUAUUUUACCUACGCUUAGGAUGUUGACACACGCGCGUGCUC